CUCACGUUAAAUUCACACUCUGCCUUAGUGGCUGGAUGCUCAUCAAAGGAGACACGCACAGCCCCGGGGGGCUCGAGGGCCCCUCCGUGAGUCGUCACGGGUUGACGGGUACAGACAAGUAUGACAAACCCUUUCCUGAGAGCCUGUUUGGACUGCAACGGGGAGAAGUACACAGUUGCAUAUUUUUAGUUGUGGGUCCCUCUAGCUGUGGCGUGUGGGACGCCACCUCAGCAUAGCCCGAUGAGCAGUGCCGUGUCCACGCCCAGGAUUCAAACCAGCAAAACCCUGGGCCACCGAAGCAGAGUGCGCGAACUUAACCACUCAGCCAUGGGACCAGCCCCUCAGAACAACUCAUUUCAUGCGUGAUAAAAUGGAAGCUCAGAGAAGUGAAGUAACUUGUCCAAGGUCAUGCAACUGGCAAGACCAAGCUUCCCACCAAUAAAGGCC
Molecule: long non-coding RNA, 447 nt
Filed under: Equus caballus (horse)
Lineage: Eukaryota; Metazoa; Chordata; Mammalia; Perissodactyla; Equidae
Description: lncRNA (ENSECAG00000049005.1)
Source: RNAcentral